This 253-nucleotide unclassified non-coding RNA is filed under the name uncultured Myxococcales bacterium. Its description in RNAcentral is "contains 16S-23S intergenic spacer region". It matches the Rfam family "Bacterial small subunit ribosomal RNA", at positions 524 to 776 of the family's 1533-position model. Lineage: Bacteria; Pseudomonadati; Myxococcota; Myxococcia; Myxococcales. The record is from RNAcentral.
UACGGAGGGUGCAAGCGUUGUUCGGAAUUACUGGGCGUAAAGCGCGUGUAGGCGGCGACGUAAGUCGGAUGUGAAAGCCCUCGGCUUAACCGAGGAAGUGCAUCCGAUACUGCGUUGCUUGAGUACUGGAGGGGGUGGCGGAAUUCCCGGUGUAGAGGUGAAAUUCGUAGAUAUCGGGAGGAACACCUGUGGCGAAGGCGGCCACCUGGACAGUAACUGACGCUGAGACGCGAAAGCGUGGGUAGCAAACAGG